This 488-nucleotide ribosomal RNA is filed under the name uncultured bacterium. RNAcentral describes it as "partial 16S ribosomal RNA". It matches the Rfam family "Bacterial small subunit ribosomal RNA", at positions 28 to 507 of the family's 1533-position model. The record is from RNAcentral.
GACGAACGCUGGCGGCGUGCUUAACACAUGCAAGUCGAACGAAAAUACCAAGCUUGCUUGGUUGAUUAGUGGCGAACGGGUGAGUAACACGUGAGUAACCUGCCCCUUACUUUCCUGGAUAACUGCUCGAAAGGGUAGCUAAUACGGGAUAUUCUGACCAGCCUGCAUGGGUUGGUUUGGAAAGGUUGUUUUUCUGGUAAGGGAUGGGCUCGCGGCCUAUCAGCUUGUUGGUGGGGUGAUGGCCUACCAAGGCUUUGACGGGUAGCCGGCCUGAGAGGGUGGACGUUCACACUGGGACUGAGAUACGGCCCAGACUCCUACGGGAGGCAGCAGUGGGGAAUAUUGCACAAUGGGCGCAAGCCUGAUGCAGCGACGCCGCGUGAGGGAUGAAGGCCUUCGGGUUGUAAACCUCUUUCGUCAGGGAACAAGGCACUGCUUUUUUGGUGGUGUUGAGGGUACCUGGAUAAGAAGCGCCGGCUAACUACGUG